CGAAAUGUUGAUGCACCACUGGUCCAAAAUUAAAUCUUUUUAGUGAUUUUGGUUCCUAUCCACUUAAAAAGACAAUUAUACCCUUUAUAUUUGUUUUUCUUAUUUUAAAUAAUUAAAAAUUAGAGAAUGACUCUCUCUCUCUCUCUCUCUCUCUCUCUCUCUCUCUCUCUCUCUCUCUCUCUCUCUCUCUCUCUCUCUCUCUCUCUCUCUCUCUCUCUCUCUCUCGUGAAGAAUACAAAUUAUCAUCUUCUACCCCUUUAUCAGUGUCGUCGUAGCCGUCCCCGGUGAUGGAAGAUGUUAGGCGUCAUCCCCCGCCUCAUUCCCCCAAAAUCCAUUGGUGAAAAUCCCCAUUUUUCAGUGGAUCGAUCCACAACAUGUGUAUGAAAAUAGAAGAUGCAAACAUGUUUGAUUUCCCACUUCUCUGCCAUCAAAUCGUCAGCCACCACCAGAUGCAAACUGCGAUUUGUUUUCUCUCCAUUACCCUUCCAGCUUGCCCUUGAACCGAUAGUCGGUGAGGAAGAAGAUGAUGUGGUGGUUGGUGUGAUCUACAAAGUGGAUGGAUGGAAGGCGUUUCCGAGGGAGCAAUUUAAGCAGCAACAGUCGUGCAGGGGAGGGCUUUCGACAGUGGUGCUCAAACGGAGGAGGUGAGGUAUGCGAGGGGUGGCACCGGUGAUGAUGGGGACUACCCACCACAGCAACGGUGACGAGCGGUGGUUGCAUAUCAGUUCUGCUGCUUCUGUCUUUCCAAUGAUUGACAAGGAAGAGAAACAGUAACAACAGUGGAUGGUUGUGGAGAUGUUCAAGGUUGGGCUUGGUCGACCAAAAUAGUGGCGGCAGUGGGUGGUGUCGGGCAGUAGGAAGUGGUGGAGUGUGACCGGAGCAAGGCGGAGGAGGGUCGGUAGUCACUGAUCGUCGGUGAAUCAAGAACUUGAGGGGGAGUAGGUUGUAAUGUUGUAUGAAGUCAGAUAUGAGAGAGAGAGGGAGGUUAUUUUCUUUUUAUUUUUUAAUGAAAAUAAUAAUAAAAUGCUAAAAAUAAAUAAAAAAGAAUUAUCAAA
Long non-coding RNA from Lactuca sativa (garden lettuce), 1055 nucleotides. RefSeq lists it as uncharacterized. The record is from RefSeq and is a predicted model, not a curated record. Lineage: Eukaryota; Viridiplantae; Streptophyta; Magnoliopsida; Asterales; Asteraceae.